This 62-nucleotide transfer RNA is filed under the name Rattus norvegicus (Norway rat). It matches the Rfam family "tRNA", at positions 6 to 65 of the family's 71-position model. Rfam says of the family: Transfer RNA (tRNA) molecules are approximately 80 nucleotides in length. Their secondary structure includes four short double-helical elements and three loops (D, anti-codon, and T loops). Further hydrogen bonds mediate the characteristic L-shaped molecular structure. tRNAs have two regions of fundamental functional importance: the anti-codon, which is responsible for specific mRNA codon recognition, and the 3' end, to which the tRNAs corresponding amino acid is attached (by aminoacyl-tRNA synthetases). tRNAs cope with the degeneracy of the genetic code in two manners: having more than one tRNA (with a specific anti-codon) for a particular amino acid; and 'wobble' base-pairing, i.e. permitting non-standard base-pairing at the 3rd anti-codon position. Lineage: Eukaryota; Metazoa; Chordata; Mammalia; Rodentia; Muridae. The record is from Rfam by way of RNAcentral.
UGUAGCUCAGUUCGUAGAGUGCUUGCCUGGAACACAUGAGGCCCUAGGUUCAAUCCCCAGCA